This 2773-nucleotide ribosomal RNA is filed under the name Escherichia coli. RNAcentral's name for it is "bacterial LSU rRNA". It matches the Rfam family "Bacterial large subunit ribosomal RNA". Lineage: Bacteria; Pseudomonadati; Pseudomonadota; Gammaproteobacteria; Enterobacterales; Enterobacteriaceae. The record is from RNAcentral.
AGCGUACACGGUGGAUGCCCUGGCAGUCAGAGGCGAUGAAGGACGUGCUAAUCUGCGAUAAGCGUCGGUAAGGUGAUAUGAACCGUUAUAACCGGCGAUUUCCGAAUGGGGAAACCCAGUGUGAUUCGUCACACUAUCAUUAACUGAAUCCAUAGGUUAAUGAGGCGAACCGGGGGAACUGAAACAUCUAAGUACCCCGAGGAAAAGAAAUCAACCGAGAUUCCCCCAGUAGCGGCGAGCGAACGGGGAGCAGCCCAGAGCCUGAAUCAGUGUGUGUGUUAGUGGAAGCGUCUGGAAAGGCGCGCGAUACAGGGUGACAGCCCCGUACACAAAAAUGCACAUACUGUGAGCUCGAUGAGUAGGGCGGGACACGUGGUAUCCUGUCUGAAUAUGGGGGGACCAUCCUCCAAGGCUAAAUACUCCUGACUGACCGAUAGUGAACCAGUACCGUGAGGGAAAGGCGAAAAGAACCCCGGCGAGGGGAGUGAAAAAGAACCUGAAACCGUGUACGUACAAGCAGUGGGAGCCUCUUUAUGGGGUGACUGCGUACCUUUUGUAUAAUGGGUCAGCGACUUAUAUUCUGUAGCAAGGUUAACCGAAUAGGGGAGCCGAAGGGAAACCGAGUCUUAACUGGGCGUUAAGUUGCAGGGUAUAGACCCGAAACCCGGUGAUCUAGCCAUGGGCAGGUUGAAGGUUGGGUAACACUAACUGGAGGACCGAACCGACUAAUGUUGAAAAAUUAGCGGAUGACUUGUGGCUGGGGGUGAAAGGCCAAUCAAACCGGGAGAUAGCUGGUUCUCCCCGAAAGCUAUUUAGGUAGCGCCUCGUGAAUUCAUCUCCGGGGGUAGAGCACUGUUUCGGCAAGGGGGUCAUCCCGACUUACCAACCCGAUGCAAACUGCGAAUACCGGAGAAUGUUAUCACGGGAGACACACGGCGGGUGCUAACGUCCGUCGUGAAGAGGGAAACAACCCAGACCGCCAGCUAAGGUCCCAAAGUCAUGGUUAAGUGGGAAACGAUGUGGGAAGGCCCAGACAGCCAGGAUGUUGGCUUAGAAGCAGCCAUCAUUUAAAGAAAGCGUAAUAGCUCACUGGUCGAGUCGGCCUGCGCGGAAGAUGUAACGGGGCUAAACCAUGCACCGAAGCUGCGGCAGCGACACUAUGUGUUGUUGGGUAGGGGAGCGUUCUGUAAGCCUGUGAAGGUGUGCUGUGAGGUAUGCUGGAGGUAUCAGAAGUGCGAAUGCUGACAUAAGUAACGAUAAAGCGGGUGAAAAGCCCGCUCGCCGGAAGACCAAGGGUUCCUGUCCAACGUUAAUCGGGGCAGGGUGAGUCGACCCCUAAGGCGAGGCCGAAAGGCGUAGUCGAUGGGAAACAGGUUAAUAUUCCUGUACUUGGUGUUACUGCGAAGGGGGGACGGAGAAGGCUAUGUUGGCCGGGCGACGGUUGUCCCGGUUUAAGCGUGUAGGCUGGUUUUCCAGGCAAAUCCGGAAAAUCAAGGCUGAGGCGUGAUGACGAGGCACUACGGUGCUGAAGCAACAAAUGCCCUGCUUCCAGGAAAAGCCUCUAAGCAUCAGGUAACAUCAAAUCGUACCCCAAACCGACACAGGUGGUCAGGUAGAGAAUACCAAGGCGCUUGAGAGAACUCGGGUGAAGGAACUAGGCAAAAUGGUGCCGUAACUUCGGGAGAAGGCACGCUGAUAUGUAGGUGAAGUCCCUUGCGGAUGGAGCUGAAAUCAGUCGAAGAUACCAGCUGGCUGCAACUGUUUAUUAAAAACACAGCACUGUGCAAACACGAAAGUGGACGUAUACGGUGUGACGCCUGCCCGGUGCCGGAAGGUUAAUUGAUGGGGUUAGCGGUAACGCGAAGCUCUUGAUCGAAGCCCCGGUAAACGGCGGCCGUAACUAUAACGGUCCUAAGGUAGCGAAAUUCCUUGUCGGGUAAGUUCCGACCUGCACGAAUGGCGUAAUGAUGGCCAGGCUGUCUCCACCCGAGACUCAGUGAAAUUGAACUCGCUGUGAAGAUGCAGUGUACCCGCGGCAAGACGGAAAGACCCCGUGAACCUUUACUAUAGCUUGACACUGAACAUUGAGCCUUGAUGUGUAGGAUAGGUGGGAGGCUUUGAAGUGUGGACGCCAGUCUGCAUGGAGCCGACCUUGAAAUACCACCCUUUAAUGUUUGAUGUUCUAACGUUGGCCCCUAAUCGGGGUUGCGGACAGUGUCUGGUGGGUAGUUUGACUGGGGCGGUCUCCUCCUAAAGAGUAACGGAGGAGCACGAAGGUUGGCUAAUCCUGGUCGGACAUCAGGAGGUUAGUGCAAUGGCAUAAGCCAGCUUGACUGCGAGCGUGACGGCGCGAGCAGGUGCGAAAGCAGGUCAUAGUGAUCCGGUGGUUCUGAAUGGAAGGGCCAUCGCUCAACGGAUAAAAGGUACUCCGGGGAUAACAGGCUGAUACCGCCCAAGAGUUCAUAUCGACGGCGGUGUUUGGCACCUCGAUGUCGGCUCAUCACAUCCUGGGGCUGAAGUAGGUCCCAAGGGUAUGGCUGUUCGCCAUUUAAAGUGGUACGCGAGCUGGGUUUAGAACGUCGUGAGACAGUUCGGUCCCUAUCUGCCGUGGGCGCUGGAGAACUGAGGGGGGCUGCUCCUAGUACGAGAGGACCGGAGUGGACGCAUCACUGGUGUUCGGGUUGUCAUGCCAAUGGCACUGCCCGGUAGCUAAAUGCGGAAGAGAUAAGUGCUGAAAGCAUCUAAGCACGAAACUUGCCCCGAGAUGAGUUCU